ACGAUUGGUCACACUGUUUGACGCCUCCCUGUUAAACUCUUGAGAGCCGCUUCUGCGGCUCUUUUUUUUUGGAAAA
RNAcentral lists this small RNA (76 nucleotides) under Hoeflea phototrophica DFL-43. RNAcentral's name for it is "suhB". The stretch from base 1 to 68 matches the Rfam family "Alphaproteobacterial sRNA BjrC1505", at positions 69 to 140 of the family's 140-position model. Lineage: Bacteria; Pseudomonadati; Pseudomonadota; Alphaproteobacteria; Hyphomicrobiales; Rhizobiaceae. The record is from RNAcentral.